AUCCGUAACACUUUAUUUUGAGUUGGACCAAAAAAAUGUGGAGAUAAUUUCUUGUUUAAAGAUUUCCACCCACAUGGAUCCAAAUGUGAAAGAUUCCUGGAAAAGUUGUAAGUGACAAAUCAGGAACUAUGUAAAUUAGGCAAGCUACAGGGCAUUCUAAUAGGUAACCAAUGAAUGUUUUGUUGUACGAAAAUGUUGUGUGAUGCACUGGAUAGUCAUAUCUGCUUCUGUGUAAUAUGUAUAUGCCUGAUCCUGCAUUGAGAUGUACACAGACAGAUACUUGUACCAGUGCAGAGCCACUCUAGUUUUGGUGGAGACUGCCUGUGUGCAACUCAUUCUGGGAUACAUUGGGCUAUAUUAGAAUGUUGUUUGUGUAGCUUCUAAGGGAUAUAUACAAGCAGCUAAUUUUUUUUUUUUUAAGGAACAACUUGAUGCAGAAGCAAAUAUUUCUUCUCAAACAGAAACUGUUCAGACAGUGGCAUCUCUGCAAGCUCCUCAGAAAACACCCAGUACAGACCUUUCAGAUAUCCCUGCUCUCCCUGCAAAUCCUAUUCCUGUUAUCAAGAAUUCAAUAAAACUGAGAUUGAAUCGGUAAAAACAACCUCAGGGGUCCAUAAACAAUACCUGCCAACUCAACCUGUUGUCUUCUAAUGCUAAAAAAGGAGAAUGGAGGGUGCAAGACUAGAACAUGACUGCAAAUGGAUUUAGGUAUAUUUUGUGCACUUCCCUGACUGGGCUGUAAUCACCGCCUCUUUGGAAGUCCAGGUUAGUAUGUGAAGCCAGGAGUACUUUUAAUGUGUUAGCAACAGUUGCAUUAAAUAUUUCGAAGGAUUACUGCCUUUAAAAACAAACAUGAACACUAUUUGUAGCCAUAAUUUACAUUCUGAUUGGAUUUAUGUUUGAUGCAUUGUUUGAAAAUUUUGAGCUAAAACUGGCAUAAGAAUCCCUUAAAUGCACUUUUAUGUACCUUUUUUAUUGGAGUAUGACUAAUUUUAGAUAUUCAACUGAUAUUCUUUCAUUUUUAUUGAAGAGAUUCUUCAGUGCUAGUAAUCUGCGAAUUGGAUAACAUUCUGUGAUAUACUAUACAUUGAAGACAAAGUGUACAGUAUAUCUAGUUAAAUUACCAUCAAGCAGCAGUAAACCUUUAAAAUAAAAUGUCAAAUCUUGGGGUUAUAUGACA
RNAcentral lists this long non-coding RNA (1180 nucleotides) under Gopherus agassizii (Agassiz's desert tortoise). RNAcentral describes it as "lncRNA (ENSGAGG00000020498.1)". Lineage: Eukaryota; Metazoa; Chordata; Testudines; Testudinidae. The record is from RNAcentral.